RNAcentral lists this ribosomal RNA (253 nucleotides) under uncultured bacterium. Its description in RNAcentral is "partial 16S ribosomal RNA". It matches the Rfam family "Bacterial small subunit ribosomal RNA", at positions 524 to 776 of the family's 1533-position model. The record is from RNAcentral.
UACGGAGGGUGCAAGCGUUAUCCGGAUUCACUGGGUUUAAAGGGUGCGUAGGCGGGCAGGUAAGUCCGUGGUGAAAUCUCUGAGCUUAACUCAGAAACUGCCAUGGAUACUAUUUGUCUUGAAUAUUGUGGAGGUAAGCGGAAUAUGUCAUGUAGCGGUGAAAUGCUUAGAUAUGACAUAGAACGCCAAUUGCGAAGGCAGCUUACUACACAGUUAUUGACGCUGAGGCACGAAAGCGUGGGGAUCAAACAGG